Molecule: ribosomal RNA, 603 nt
Filed under: Zygaena filipendulae gemina
Lineage: Eukaryota; Metazoa; Arthropoda; Insecta; Lepidoptera; Zygaenidae
Description: partial 12S ribosomal RNA
Source: RNAcentral
UGCGGUUAUACAAAAAUUAAAUUGAAUUUUUUUUAGGGUUUAAUAAAUAAAUGUUUUAAAUUAAUAAUUUAAAUUUUAAAUUAUAAAGUGAAAUUUUAAUUUAAAUAAAAUUUAUUUGUUUUUAUGAUAUUAAUAAAUUUUAUAAAAAACUAGGAUUAGAUACCCUAUUAUAAAAAUUUAAAUUAAUAAUCUUAAAAUAGUAUAUAAUUUUUUAUAGAAACUUAAAUAAUUUGGCGGUAUUUUAGUUCAUUUAGAGGAAUCUGUCUAAUAAUUGAUAAUCCACGAUUAAAUUUACUUAAUUUUUAAUUUUGUAUAUCGUUGUUAAAAAAAUAUUUUUAAAUAAAUAUAAUAUUUUAAAAUUUUUAUGUAAAAUUAAAUCAGAUCAAGAUGCAGAUUAUAAUUAAGAAUAUGAUGGAUUACAAUAAGAUUUAUUUUUGGAUUUUAAUUUGUAAUAAUUAAUUGAAAUUGGAUUUAAAUGUAAUUUUAUUAAUUUUAUUAAAAUGAUUUUAAAUUAAAAUAUGUACAUAUUGCCCGUCGCUUUCAUUAAUAAAUUGAAAUAAGUCGUAACAAAGUAGAGGUACUGGAAAGUGUUUCUAGAAAGAU